Molecule: ribosomal RNA, 254 nt
Filed under: uncultured bacterium
Lineage: Bacteria
Description: partial 16S ribosomal RNA
Rfam family: Bacterial small subunit ribosomal RNA
Source: RNAcentral
UACGGGGGAGCAAGCGUUGUUCGGAUUUACUGGGCGUAAAGGGCGCGGUAGGCGGUCGUGACAAGUCACUUGUGAAAUCUCCGGGCUUAACUCGGAACGGUCAAGUGAUACUGUCGGACUAGAGUACAGAAGGGGCAACUGGAAUUCUCGGUGUAGCGGUGAAAUGCGUAGAUAUCGAGAGGAACACCUGCGGCGAAGGCGGGUUGCUGGGCUGAUACUGACGCUGAGGCGCGAAAGCGUGGGGAGCGAACAGG